This 460-nucleotide ribosomal RNA is filed under the name Theileria sp. Its description in RNAcentral is "SSU rRNA". It matches the Rfam family "Eukaryotic small subunit ribosomal RNA", at positions 486 to 984 of the family's 1831-position model. The record is from RNAcentral. RNAcentral also lists the same sequence under 1 other name. Lineage: Eukaryota; Apicomplexa; Aconoidasida; Piroplasmida; Theileriidae.
CGGGGCUUAAUGUCUUGUAAUUGGAAUGAUGGGAAUUUAAACCUCUUCCAGAGUAUCAAUUGGAGGGCAAGUCUGGUGCCAGCAGCCGCGGUAAUUCCAGCUCCAAUAGCGUAUAUUAAAAUUGUUGCAGUUAAAAAGCUCGUAGUUGAAUUUCUGCUACAUUGCCUAUUCUCCUUUACGAGUUUGGGUCUUUUGUGGCUUAUCUGGGUUCGCUUGCGUUCCCGGUGUUUUACUUUGAGAAAAUUAGAGUGCUCAAAGCAGGCUUUUGCCUUGAAUAGUUUAGCAUGGAAUAAUAAAGUAGGACUUUGGUUCUAUUUUGUUGGUUUUAGGUACCAAAGUAAUGGUUAAUAGGAACAGUUGGGGGCAUUCGUAUUUAACUGUCAGAGGUGAAAUUCUUAGAUUUGUUAAAGACGAACUACUGCGAAAGCAUUUGCCAAGGAUGUUUUCAUUAAUCAAGAAC